Molecule: ribosomal RNA, 662 nt
Filed under: uncultured Candidatus Saccharibacteria bacterium
Lineage: Bacteria; Candidatus Saccharimonadota
Description: bacterial SSU rRNA
Rfam family: Bacterial small subunit ribosomal RNA
Source: RNAcentral
ACCAAGGCACGAAAGCGUGGGGAGCAAACGGGAUUAGAUACCCCGGUAGUCCACGCCGUAAACUAUGGAUGCUAGCUGUGACACACAUCGACCUGUGUCGUAGCGAAGUUAACGCGUUAAGCAUCCCGCCUGGGGAGUACGGUCGCAAGAUUAAAACUCAAAGGAAUUGACGGGGACCCGCACAAGCGGUGGAGCGUGUUGUUUAAUUCGAUGGUAAGCGAAGAACCUUACCAAGGCUUGAAAUCCCGAUAGCAGUUCAUCGAAAGAAGAACCUCAUUUAGUUGGAUCGGUGACAGGUGAUGCAUGGCCGUCGUCAGCUCGUGUCGUGAGAUGUAUGGUUAAGUCCAUUAACGAGCGCAACCCUUAUGUUUAGUUGGAUUUUUCUAAACAGACUGCCCUGGCAACAGGGAGGAGGGAGGGGAUGACGUCAGGUCAGUAUUUCCCUUACGUCUUGGGCUACAAACACGCUACAAUGGCCGGUACAAAGGGCAGCGAACCCGCGAGGGGAAGCAAAUCUCAUCAAAACCGGUCUCAGUUCGGAUUGCAGGCUGAAACUCGCCUGCAUGAAGCUGGAAUCGCUAGUAACGGUAGGUCAGCACACUACCGUGAAUACGUUCCCGGGUCUUGUACACACCGCCCGUCAAACCAUGAAAGUGGCCAAC